Molecule: long non-coding RNA, 3422 nt
Organism: Trachemys scripta elegans
Lineage: Eukaryota; Metazoa; Chordata; Testudines; Emydidae
Exons: 4
Source: RefSeq, a predicted model, not a curated record
AAGAUGUGCUUUCCCUAAACAUUCAGGCCAGUAAAACUUACUCACAUGGAAGUUCACAGAAAGUAACUCAAAAAGUUCAAAAGUCUAGCUGGAGUGAAUUGAUUUUACAACUUGAACAAAUAUGUGUGGGACAUUUUCACAGUAUUCACCCAACUUUAAUUGUGAUCAGCAUAAUUAUUUUAAAAGUGUAUUGCCUGCCUCACUGCAGUUUUCUAUUUUCCACUUUUCAAAAAACUCUUUUUUUAAAUAUUCCAAAUUGUAAAAAAAUUCCCUAUUUAAGAAAAUAACUGGAACUCCAACUAAGGGACCGGAAUGUGUAGUAUUUGCAUACAGGGGAAUCACUAGCAAUCCAUACAUUCCUGGCCUUCCUUAUUUUUGCAGGAAAGCAAGACUUUUUCAGAGAGCAGACAAACCCCAUUUUUUUCAGAAAGGGCUGUGGCUUUCUUUGUUUUGAAGCACCACAGCAAACUUGCUGCUGCCUUUUCUUGUCAUUCUAUGCAAUUUAAUUCUCCUCAGUGCAUCUCUAUUAGGCUAAACUGCAUCCCAAUCACGUCACUCACGUAUGCUUUUGCUUUGAAACCACUUGGACUGGGGGGGAAGGAUUCUGUUUGACUUUGAGCAUUCUAAACAGGGAGACUAAUAUUUCAACUCAGCAGAAAUGGCUGCUAAUUUUAAACUACCAGUUUAAUCUUUCUCUAGCAGAAACACACAUUUUCUUCUACCAUAAAAUGUUCUCAUAAUAGAAAUGAGACCAUUCCCAGGGGCGCGGUUACCAAAAGAUAAUCUUGCCCCAAUCUGAUUAGAGGCAUGAGGUUCAUGCCUCAAAAUGCUCUAGGGUGUGAUUAUUUUAGGAUAACCCUACCCUGUAUCAUGGCUUAUUGAUUAACUAAUAAAGCUUCAGUAUUAUUAUUCAGAGGAGGGCUGAGAUAUCAGAGGAAGAUCUGAUUCUGGAAUGGGAAAGAUUCUUUCUUGCUAACAAACCACCUUUCUCUUGCCCUGAUUAUAACCUGUGUGUGAAAUUAUAGGGUCAAUGGAUGCCAGUUUUAGUUUUUCAUUGGUGAUUAGCUCACUGGUUUAUUAAAACUGAAAAACACCCAGAAACAUAUUUAUUUGAAGACAAAUUUUCACUAGGACUAUUCCCUUUCCAUUUAAACUGCAUAUAAGAGCUACAGAGCAGAAUAUGAUUUGGGUUUCUAGAGAGCCUUUUGUAGUCAAGGUUCUAGAAGUGUGUCACACAGUAGUAUGUUAGAUAGCAGUGCAGUGAUUCAUAGCCAAGUAUGCCUGCUGUUAUACUUUUAACAAUAGCUCUUGCACAGCCUGGAACAUUAGAAACUAUUUUAAUGAGAGAAGCAACGUUAGACGGGGCACUGGGGUAAACAUCCUGCUCAGGGACAUAAGUGAUGCCUGCUGAUAAUGGUGCCCAUUCCGAAAGACUAUUAUGCCACCAGAGGAUCACUUGAGAGCAGUGCACUACUCUAUGCCAGCGGGAAUUCCCCCACAUUGGAGGACUCCUGAUUUACUCAUUUAGUGCAGCUGUUUGGCCCUUAUAUAUCAAAAGAGUGGCACAGAAAGGCUGAAAUCUAGCCCUUGCCUCCUAGUCCAGUGCUUUAAUUACAAGACCAUCUCCCCAUCUAGUUUCAGCCCUGUAUAGAAACCCACAACUGGCGUGGGACUUGAUCCCAUAGCCAGUCAAGUCCUUGAGCUAGAGCAGGCUGGAUUCUGAGUUCAGUUACACCAAUAUAAAUCUGGAGUUAUUCCACUGACUUGGGUAGAGUGAGUCCAGGUUUACUGAGGCAUAACUGAGAUCAGAAUCAGGUACAGCACAUGCAAAAAGGACUUAACUCAAAAAAGUUAUAUCUGUUGUGGUAUAAUAUCCAAACUACUGGACACAACUACAAAUACCUAUUUAAUGUCACCUGCACUUAAAUUUGAACAUGUUAUUGGAAACAAAGGGUCAAGCAUUAUGUAUAUGUAUCCUCUUUUAGUACUCACAAUGAAAGGAGUUUGAUAAUAAUGUAAAGGAAAGAAAGGUUUGAUUAAACCCUUCAAGGUGGUAUGUGCAAUGCAGGUCUAACAAAGGGAUCAUUACACAAUAAUAUAACCUACACUGGACUAAUCCCCUUUCAUGAACCAUUUGGCAAAUCUCUAUGUCUGUUUUGUCACCAUAUGCUCUGCUAACGUAUGGUGCUAACUUCUUUAACUAAUCAGAAUGAUCAUCCUGCUUGUUCAUGCUGCGUGGCAAAAAUCUCCCACCAUUCCUCACACCUGUGCAGCUCCAGCAUUGGUAGUAACACAGGGAGUACUAGUGUAGAGCAGGUUCCUGCAGCUUCUGGCAUUUUCAACACCAUGUCACUUAGCCCUUCUUAGAGCAGGUUUACAUAGCACAGUGUUAAAAAUCCUGGUAUGCAUUAGCACUCCCACAGUUAUUUUCAGCUGUGAAGGUGCAUCAGUGUUAGUAAUGGUGGGAAAUUUCGCUAAAAAUCCCUAGUGUAGCCCUGGGGGGGCAUGAGCAGGUUUCAGGGGAUCCGCAAGCAGGACCAGUGUUAGACUUUCUGGGGCCCAGGGCAGAAAGCCAGAGUCCCACUGCAGGGGGCUGAAGCCUAGGACCCUGAGCAACUUAGCUUUAUGGUGCCCCUGUGGCAUGGGGCUCUGGGCAAUUGCCAUGCUUGCCACCCCUUAACACUGGCCCUGGCUUUUAUAUGCAGAAAACCUGUUCCUGUGGCACAGGUGGGCCGUGGAGUUUUUAUAGCAUGUUUGGGGGGCCUCAGAAAAAGGUUGAGAACCCCUGUCCUACAGUAUUCCUUACACUAAGCAUUAUGGGCUUGAUCUUGGCCUCAGUUUAAUCAAUAGGAGUUUUGCAAGGAGAUAAAGAAUUAGCAGUCACUCUGUGUAAAGCAAUAUAAUGACUUUUCCAUUAGUCAUGACACUCCCUAAUGAACAAAACAUAAGGACCUCCAGAAGAGGAGAGGAAGCUGACGACUUCCAAAAACAACACACAGCCCUGUGUAAAAGAAAGAAGUAAAGAAAAAGUCUUGAAUAGAUGAACAUAAGAAUUCCUGGUCUGCUGCUCAUUUAAAUACAAACUAUGAUUUGCAUGGUUUAAAGGCUUUUCUCCACCCCAGAAUGAAGGAGGAACUGAAUAGUUUCAUGUUGGACAUUCUCCCACUCCAAAACGUCUGAGAAACUGAAACAGGACCAUUAGGAACUGAAUAGCCUUGCCAUGGCAGAACAAUGGAGACUAUCUGGUCAUGCCAUUGAGUGUUAGCCCUGGUCUACACUAAAGGGUUAGGUUGAAUUUAGCUGCGUUAGGUCGAUUUUAUAGUGAAUGCAUCUACACAAACAACCUUGUUCCGUCGACCUAAAGGGCUCCCCUGCAAGGGGAGUAGUGCUAAAAUCGAUCUUGCUGGGUCAAAUUUGGAGUA